CAUCGCCUCUUGCCCUAUAAGUAUAAGAGGUCCCGCCUGCCCAGUGACUACGAGUUCAACGGCCGCGGUAUUAUGACCGUGCGAAGGUAGCGCAAUCACUUGUUUCUUAAAUGGAGACCUGUAUGAAUGGCUUCACGAGGGCUUAACUGUCUCCUCUUCCCAGUCAAUGAAAUUGAUCUUCCCGUGCAGAAGCGGGACUAGCACCAUAAGACGAGAAGACCCUAUGGAGCUUUAGGCACUAGGCAGCCCACGACACACGUCUGUUCAAACAGAACAAAACCGCGCGGCCCCUGUCCUGCUGCCUUUGGUUGGGGCGACCCCGGAGGAAAGAAUAGCCUCCAUGAGGAACGAGAGUACUACUCUCACAAGUCAGAGUUACCGCUCAAGUCAACAGAACUUCUGACCAGCCGAUCCGGCCUCGUGCCGAUCAACGAACCGAGUUACCCUAGGGAUAACAGCGCAAUCCCCUCUCAGAGACCCUAUCGACGAGGGGGUUUACGACCUCGAUGUUGGAUCAGGGCAUCCUAGCGGCGCAGCCGUCGUUAAGGGUUCGUUUGUUCAACGAUUAAAGCCCUACGUGA
This 581-nucleotide ribosomal RNA is filed under the name Aristostomias scintillans (shiny loosejaw). RNAcentral describes it as "partial 16S ribosomal RNA". It matches the Rfam family "Bacterial large subunit ribosomal RNA", at positions 1814 to 2603 of the family's 2925-position model. The record is from RNAcentral. Lineage: Eukaryota; Metazoa; Chordata; Actinopteri; Stomiiformes; Stomiidae.